AGGUAGUAGCAAUAGUAAAGCUAAAUGAUAGUGAAGAUAGUGAAUUGAAACCCAAAUCAUUAUAAAUGCUUACACCAUGUUUGGUUGGGUGUAUUGGCUAUAAUCGAUGGGCCCCACUUAAUCCCCAUUUAAUCCGUUGUUUGGUUGGUUGUAUUGCCAUUACGUCCCAAAUCUGUUCCUUGCCUAAUACACCCGGUCCCGUAAUAGGUAUUCCCCCCAUCCAGCGCCGAUUAGAGAAUCCUUACCCAUUUCUUAUUUUCGUUUCCUUUUUCUGCCCUCAUAGAUUUCUGCUUCUUCUUCCAUCGGUAUUGCAGAUCUGUCCUCAUUUCUUCUGCUUUCAUAACAAAUCCUCAACAUUGUCUUCAUCGGAGGCCGAUUUCAGUAUUUCUUGUAGUUUUUCUCUCUUAGAAAUUGAAACAGAGAGUUUAGGAUUUUGAGAGGUUUAGAUUCUGGUGGAAGAGUUGAUAUCAGGUUGUUCUGCUGUUUGGUUUUGUGUUUUUGCUUCAAUAAGGUAGAGAAGAAAAUGGUGAUAAUUGCUGUUGAGUGAGAAUAUCAGAUGAAAACUGGAAUAAGAAUGAACUUUUAAUCCUAACAGGAUUUGUAGUUUUAUAUCUGUAAUUCAACACUCGUUUUUCGGUAUCAAUUCAUGGCAGAGUGUUAACUGGUGCAAAAUUGUUGCUUUAGAUGUUUAUGUUUCUUUACUUUGUUAUGCAAAGUUCUCAUUUCUUUUGUUUGAAGUUUCAAAUUGUCUGCAUCUCUUUAAGUUUGUGAGUUUAGAAGAUGGCAGCAGCUUUAGAUUCUUUUGUUGACAGUCACUAAAAUGCUUGGUUCUGAGGUUAGAAAAAUUACAUUAUGUAUGAUUUCUUUUAUAGUUAUUGAGUGUACAAAAUUCGCCGCUUGUUAAUAUAUUAUCUCAUAAAGCUUCCUUAAGAAUAAUUGUUGCAAGUGGUUUUGAGUGAUGAAAGAAGUAAUAUAUGACUUUCAUGCUUGGAAGCCUAGCUUAGUUAUAAAAAGUGUAAUGCAGAUAUGAUUUCCCCUGGGCACCCACAAGGUUUAUCCCAUUUUAUGGUGGUGUUGAUUACCAUGAUUACCAUCAUUAUGUUGGAGAACAAAGCCAGAGCAACUUUGCUUCAGUUUUUACUUAUUGUGAUUAUAUCUAUGGCACCGACAAGGUAAUCAAGCAAUGCAUGGUUACUUUUUUUUUUCUCUUUGAUUUAGUGUUAUCAGCUGAUAGUUUAAUUUGGUAACAAAUUUCUUUCUUGUGUGAUUAGAGCUAUCGAUACCAUAAGAAGGUCCUAAGGAAGUGGCUACUCCAAAGCAGAUUAGGGAACUUAUGCAAGUAGAUGGCUUAACCAAUGAUGAAGUUAAGAGUCAUUUGCAGAAAUACCGGCUACACACACGAAGACUUCUACCUACCACAACAACAACAACCCUUGCAAAUCAAUCAGGCCUUGUUUUGGGUGGUGGUCAUGCAUGGAUGUGUCAAGAUCAGUUUGGAGAAUCCUCAAAAGGGAGCAGUUCGCAGUCGGGUUCCCCUCAAGGUCCUCUCCAGUUAGCCACAAACACCAGAGGGACCUCCACUACAGGGUGUGAGAGCAUAGAAGAUGAUGAAGAUGCAAAAUCCGAGUGCUAUAGUUGGAAGAGCCAUGUUCAGAAACCCAGAAAAAACAAUGCAUAGAGUUUACCCACCAUGAAUUUUGCAGAUAAAAAAAAAAAGAAAGAAAGUAUACAUGGGAGGAAAUCAUUUAUCUUAUACAACCACUAUAUUUAUACAUAUAAAAGGAGAAGGAUCUUGAGAAUUGAGAGAGACAUGUAAAAUUUUUGCAGGAUUUAGCUUUCCUUGGAUAUCAGAUUCAUGUAUUUGUUUUAUUGCACAACUAGUAAAGAAUUCUUGUUAUCAUCAAUUUGGACACUUUGGCUGGAGAAAUUUUCAUUUCUGAAUUGAAGGAUUACAAUUAUUGUUUA
Molecule: RNA transcript, 1965 nt
Organism: Gossypium raimondii (Peruvian cotton)
Lineage: Eukaryota; Viridiplantae; Streptophyta; Magnoliopsida; Malvales; Malvaceae
Exons: 4
Source: RefSeq, a predicted model, not a curated record